RNAcentral lists this ribosomal RNA (500 nucleotides) under uncultured bacterium. RNAcentral describes it as "partial 16S ribosomal RNA". It matches the Rfam family "Bacterial small subunit ribosomal RNA", at positions 30 to 523 of the family's 1533-position model. The record is from RNAcentral.
AUUGAACGCUGGCGGCAUGCCUUACACAUGCAAGUCGAACGGCAGCGGGGACUUCGGUCCGCCGGCGAGUGGCGAACGGGUGAGUAAUGUAUCGGAACGUACCAUUCAGUGGGGGAUAACUAUCCGAAAGGAUAGCUAAUACCGCAUAUUCUGUGAGCAGGAAAGCAGGGGAUCGCAAGACCUUGCGCUGAUUGAGCGGCCGAUAUCAGAUUAGCUAGUUGGUGAGGUAAAGGCUCACCAAGGCGACGAUCUGUAGCGGGUCUGAGAGGAUGAUCCGCCACACUGGAACUGAGACACGGUCCAGACUCCUACGGGAGGCAGCAGUGGGGAAUUUUGGACAAUGGGGGCAACCCUGAUCCAGCCAUGCCGCGUGAGUGAAGAAGGCCUCCGGGUUGUAAAGCUCUUUCGGCCGGGAAAAAAUCGCAUGGGUUAAUACCCUGUGUGGAUGAUGGUACCGGAAUAAGAAGCACCGGCUAACUACGUGCCAGCAGCCGCCGUAA